AUUGAACGCUGGCGGCAGGCCUAACACAUGCAAGUCGAGCGGAUGAAGGGAGCUUGCUCCUGGAUUCAGCGGCGGACGGGUGAGUAAUGCCUAGGAAUCUGCCUGGUAGUGGGGGAUAACGUCCUGAAACGGGCGCUAAUACCGCAUACGUCCUGAGGGAGAAAGUGGGGGAGCUUCGGACCUCACGCUAUCAGAUGAGCCUAGGUCGGAUUAGAUAGUUGGUGGGGUAAAGGCCUACCAAGGCGACGAUCCGUAACUGGUCUGAGAGGAUGAUCAGUCACCUUGGAACUGGGACACGGUCCAGGGGCCUACGGGAGGCAGCAGUGGGGAAUGUGGGACAAUGGGCGGAAACCUGAUCCAGCGGUGGGGAGUGUGUGGAGAAGGUCUUCGGAUUGUAAAGCACGUUAAGUUGGGAGGAAGGGCAGUAAGUUAAUACCUUGCUGUUUUGACGUUAACAACAGAAUAAGCACCGGCUAACUUCGUG
Molecule: ribosomal RNA, 484 nt
Filed under: uncultured bacterium
Lineage: Bacteria
Description: partial 16S ribosomal RNA
Rfam family: Bacterial small subunit ribosomal RNA
Source: RNAcentral